This 332-nucleotide unclassified non-coding RNA is filed under the name soil metagenome. RNAcentral's name for it is "partial contains 5.8S ribosomal RNA, internal transcribed spacer 2, and large subunit ribosomal RNA". The stretch from base 1 to 120 matches the Rfam family "5.8S ribosomal RNA", at positions 35 to 154 of the family's 154-position model. The record is from RNAcentral.
GAUGAAGAACGCAGCAAAAUGCGAUAAGUAAUGUGAAUUGCAGAAUUCAGUGAAUCAUCGAAUCUUUGAACGCACAUUGCGCCCGCCAGUAUUCUGGCGGGCAUGCCUGUUCGAGCGUCAUUUCAACCCUCAAGCACAGCUUGGUGUUGGGACUCGCGUUAAUUCGCGUUCCUCAAAUUGAUUGGCGGUCACGUCGAGCUUCCAUAGCGUAGUAGUAAAACCCUCGUUACUGGUAAUCGUCGCGGCCACGCCGUUAAACCCCAACUUCUGAAUGUUGACCUCGGAUCGGGUAGGAAUACCCGCUGAACUUAAGCAUAUCAAUAAGCGGAGGA